Molecule: ribosomal RNA, 80 nt
Filed under: Halomonas sp. SUBG004
Lineage: Bacteria; Pseudomonadati; Pseudomonadota; Gammaproteobacteria; Oceanospirillales; Halomonadaceae
Description: partial 23S ribosomal RNA
Source: RNAcentral
GUUAUAGGGUCAAGCAAUGAAGCGCACACGGUGGAUGCCUAGGCAGCCAGAGGCGAUGAAAGACGUGGUAGCCUGCGAUA